This 253-nucleotide ribosomal RNA is filed under the name uncultured bacterium. Its description in RNAcentral is "partial 16S ribosomal RNA". It matches the Rfam family "Bacterial small subunit ribosomal RNA", at positions 524 to 776 of the family's 1533-position model. The record is from RNAcentral.
UACGUAGGGUGCAAGCGUUAAUCGGAAUUACUGGGCGUAAAGCGCACGCAGGCGGUCUGUUAAGUCAGAUGUGAAAUCCCCGGGCUUAACCUGGGAACUGCAUUUGAAACUGGCAGGCUUGAGUCUUGUAGAGGGGGGUAGAAUUCCAGGUGUAGCGGUGAAAUGCGUAGAGAUCUGGAGGAAUACCGGUGGCGAAGGCAGGUCUCUGGGCCGAUACUGACGCUCAUGCACGAAAGCGUGGGGAGCAAACAGG